GUUACGUUAUAUAAUACAUUGGAAAUCUGAACCAGCCAAGAGUAAACACAAUUCCUAGGAGAGAAACAGAAAAGUGUGAAAAUGGCUGCAAUGACUGAAUUGAAUGCUGACUUUGGCAGGGAAACAGAUAAUGAUGCAGAGGUAGUACUUUCAAAGACUGAUAUGCAGAGGAAAAGAACCCUGAAAGACAUAAAGUUCUCAGAUCACAUGCAGUCUAUGGAAAAGAUACAUUUCGAAA
Saccostrea cuccullata (small rock oyster) is the source of this 238-nucleotide long non-coding RNA. RefSeq lists it as uncharacterized. The transcript has 3 exons. Lineage: Eukaryota; Metazoa; Mollusca; Bivalvia; Ostreida; Ostreidae. The record is from RefSeq and is a predicted model, not a curated record.